UGGGGAAUAUUGCACAAUGGGCGCAAGCCUGAUGCAGCAACGCCGCGUGAACGAUGAAGGUCUUCGGAUCGUAAAGUUCUGUUGCAGGGGAAGAUAAUGACGGUACCCUGUGAGGAAGCCCCGGCUAACUACGUGCCAGCAGCCGCGGUAAUACGUAGGGGGCUAGCGUUAUCCGGAUUUACUGGGCGUAAAGCGAGCGCAGGCGGUUAGAAAAGUCUGAAGUGAAAGGCAGUGGCUCAACCAUUGUAGGCUUUGGAAACUGUUUAACUUGAGUGCAGAAGGGGAGAGUGGAAUUCCAUGUGUAGCGGUGAAAUGCGUAGAUAUAUGGAGGAACACCGGUGGCGAAAGCGGCUCUCUGGUCUGUAACUGACGCUGAGGCUCGAAAGCGUGGGGAGCGAACAGG
Molecule: ribosomal RNA, 403 nt
Filed under: Verrucomicrobiota bacterium
Lineage: Bacteria; Pseudomonadati; Verrucomicrobiota
Description: Verrucomicrobia bacterium partial 16S ribosomal RNA
Rfam family: Bacterial small subunit ribosomal RNA
Source: RNAcentral